AGCGCCGUCUCCCCGCCCGCGUCGCGGCUGCGGUACAAGAGGUCUCUCUGCUGGUGUUGACGCCGUGAGUCACGUGCAGACAAAAGCCAUCCUCCUUUCACCGUUAGAGUCAGCCUCUCCGAGGACUGGGGUCCUCAGCCCUCCCAGUGCAAUAAUUCCUAAAAUCGUCUGCAAGUAUGAACAGAUGGGAAGAGUGAAGAAAGCUCAGAAAAAAGAAAGCAGAUUAAUGAAGAGGAACGUGCUGUUUUGGAGACAAGAAACUGUGAUAAACGUGAAACCGAUAGUUCAACAAAUUAAGUAUUAGAAAUGACGAGGGCUGCCGUUUAAUCAACGGCGCAGUGUGGAAGCAGUAUAGGGAGCCCUAAGUCAGAGCUCCCCUGAUACAAUUAGGGAGGAAAGCGUGGGUCGCUUAAUCAGUGAUGCACAGUCGUUGGUGAAACAUUUGUUAA
Molecule: non-coding RNA, 449 nt
Organism: Vicugna pacos (alpaca)
Lineage: Eukaryota; Metazoa; Chordata; Mammalia; Artiodactyla; Camelidae
Source: RefSeq, a predicted model, not a curated record